AGUUAAAUAAGUAAAUAAUAUAUUUUGAAAAUAUAUUAAAGAAGUUAAAAUCUUCUAUUAACUU
RNAcentral lists this transfer RNA (64 nucleotides) under Allacta transversa. RNAcentral's name for it is "tRNA-Ser". The record is from RNAcentral. Lineage: Eukaryota; Metazoa; Arthropoda; Insecta; Blattodea; Pseudophyllodromiidae.